AAAGCCGCAGCCCCCUUUCGCUUGGCAGAGCCUUUACAGCGACACUUUUAAAACAAAGACAAUUGCACCCGGUAAUAACAGGUAUACAAUACUGAGCAAGUACAAAAGGAAACCAAUCAAGAUUAUACGGUAUUUGUACAAUACUCCCAAACAAGAAAACAGAACCUACAUGCUAACGUACAUAGCACCCAAAGUACUGUUCGACACGUUGAAGAAGUCAAAAUUAUUGUUCACAUAAGGUAUAUACAUAUUCGUAUAGCGCUACCAAUCCCUGCAAAAUAUAGAACGCAGAUUUUCAUUACACACACGCACGCACGCACGUGCACAGCACACACACCAAAAGGAAACGGCAACGCGCUCACAGGAAGCGCCUGAAAAACGAAAAAAAAAAGGAAAAGUGUGGGGAACCGAGGUCGUCUUGGGCUGUCGCCUCUCCCUCUCCCAGAAGGAAUGAAGAGGUUCUUGGAAAGCAGGGACGGGCGAUUCUCUCUGUCAGCAUCAGCUCCCACCAGCGAGGACGGGGCGAGAAAGCGAAACGGGACUUUCCUUGCUGUCUAUUUUUUCUUCGUCAGGCCAACGCCGCUUGCUUGCAGGGGCGCAGGCGAGUUCCCGCCAAAUGGCGCGGGUGCGUGAGUUGCCGCCAAAUGCUAGCUCUGGAUGCCAGCUCGUUCCGCGUCUCAUGGUAGACUAGUUGGUGCAUUUCUGUUAUCAUGGACUGCGCAUAUAAACGCAAGCUACACAAAAGUGACAUGUACAAGAACAGCGCAAGCCCUUUACAUGCAGUGGAGCCGCCGUAUCUCGCCGUUCAAGAUAUGCGUACUCGAAACACUGGAACGACACUGCUUAAAUUGAAGCACAGUGUGCGAAUGACCUGCUACGCUCGGAACUGUUAUCACCAUUCGGGAAGAAAUUGGAUGAAAAAACAUAACUGUAAAUACCUGUAUGAUAUACGUCUGGUGCAUUGCAGGUAAGAAUGGAUUGUGUGUGGCGCGCUUCACCGCAUGUGGACUAGAGUAGAUCUAGGAACAUCAGACAAGAAGACACGUAUGUGAAACCCUGCGGAUAGCCCAUAUGUGAACUUUUUUUCCAGAUACGGAGGAACGGACACCGGUCGUGCCGUGAGCACUAUUCUGCAGGGCAUACUUACAAAUGAAGCUGCACUGCAGUUCAGCUGGAAAGGGUCGCAGGGGAGGAAGCACGCCUUCGUGAAGCUCAUGGCCAUCACGAAUAUAACAUCUGUGAGGAGCACGUUCCCUGACGCUUCACUAGCAUCAGUGGCUGGAGUCGCAAAACGCCGGUUGGUUGGAGCAGCUGACAGGGAUGGAGGCCGGAAUGAAAGAAGGCGCCGUGACCCUGCUUCAAGCCCACCAAAUAUGAACUAGUGUUUGAAACUUGUGAACGUGUCGGUGUACAUAUACAAUUACAAGAAAUAAAGACCUGUAUCAGAA
Molecule: long non-coding RNA, 1448 nt
Organism: Dermacentor andersoni
Lineage: Eukaryota; Metazoa; Arthropoda; Arachnida; Ixodida; Ixodidae
Source: RefSeq, a predicted model, not a curated record